RNAcentral lists this non-coding RNA (29 nucleotides) under Homo sapiens (human). Lineage: Eukaryota; Metazoa; Chordata; Mammalia; Primates; Hominidae. The record is from RNAcentral.
UGUGAAGCCAACGUAGCAAGAUACCUUGA